UUAUUAAUUGUCCUAUCAAAUUGUUCAUAAUGAUAGGGAUUUCGAAUCAAUAAUCGGAGCCGUUGAAGUUGAUUUAGAGUAUUUGAAAUAUUUAGAAAUUAAAUUUUAAAAAUUUUAAAAAUUAUUUAUAUGGUGAUCAAAGUGUCAUAAAAUUGACAAUUUUUGACGGCCUAGUAGAGUAAUCCAAAUUGCUUGAAUUUUUGACAGAAAAUUUUUUAUACUAUUUAAAUAAUGUUCGAUAACUCUGAUUAUGAAUUGAGAAAGUCUAACCUCUAUUUUAAAAAGUUUAUUCAUUUAUUACCGUUUAAUUUUUCGACUCUUCAAUAGACUUGAUAAUGAUUUUUAAAUAUUAUAAAAUUUAGUUUCUAAACAUUUCUAAUUGUGUAGACAAUUUCAACGGUACCGAUCGAUUAUCAAUUUGAAGAUCCAAUCAUUCAAAUCGACUUGAUAGGACAAUGUCCACAAUCCUAUUAAUAGGAUAGUAGAUGGACUCUAUACAUAAAGAGGAAGAGAAUUGAGCUUGUAUAUUUUUAAAAGUACCAAAUUAUUAGUGCUUAUAGGUUUUCGGCCCUUAAAUGAAAAGAUGUACAGUUAUGAUGAUAAUAAUUUUCUAGAAUUAAAUAGAUGGUUGAAGAAAUAGCAUAAUAUAAGAGAUAAAAUUGGUGAAAAGAAUAGAUAUAACUAUGAGAAACUUACUAGGAACAAACACUUAGGUAGUGUUUGGUUCGGGAACAAGGGGGGGAAUAAGCCCUUAUUCCCCCCUUUGUUCCCAAACGUAAUGUUUGGUUCCCGGGAACAGUAGUUUCUGGGAAUCUGGAACUAGCUGGUAUAAAGCUGGAACUGCUGUUCCACCCGUUUUCUGGAACAAGCUUGUUCCUUGAUGAGAACAAGAUUAAUUAAAAUCUAAAUUUAAUUUUAAUGGCAGUAAAUUAUUAAUUAAUCUAAUUAAUAUAUUUAAAUUAUUAUUUAUUACUUUAAUAAUUAAAUAAUUUAUUAUUUAUAAUUAAAUAUUAAUAAUUAGAUAAUUAUUAUUAUUAAUUUAUUAUUUAUAAUUAAUUAUAAAUAAUUAAUAAUAUUCAUUAUUUUUUUAUUAAUAAUUAUUAUUCUUAAUGACAAUCGAUAUUAUUAUUAAUUUAUUAUUUAUAAUUAAUUAUUAAUAAUUAAUAAUUAUUAUUAUUUAUUAUUAAUUAUUAAUAAUUUUUAUUCUUAAUAAUUAGAUAAUCGAUAUUAUUAUUAAUUUAUUAUUUAUAAUUAAUUAUUUAUAAUUAAUAAUAAUUAUUAUUUAUUAAUAAUUAUUAAUAAUUUUUAUUCUUAAUAAUUAGAUAAUCGAUAUUAUUAUUAAUUUAUUAUUUAUAAUUAAUAAUUUAUAAUUAAUAAUAAUUAUUAUUUAUUAAUAAUUAAUUAAUAAUUCUUAUUCUUAAUAAUUAGAUAAUGGAUAUUAUUAUUAAUUUAUUAUUUAUAAUUAAAUAAUAAUAAUUAUUAUUAUUUAUUAAUAAAUAUUAAUAUUAAUUAUUAUUAAUAAUUAGAUAAUCAAUAUUAUUAUUAAUUUAUUAUUUAUAAUUAAUUAAUAAGAAUAAUUAAUUAUUAUUAUUAUUUAUUAAUAAUUAAUAAUAAUAAUUAUUAUUAUUAAUUAGAUCAUCCAUAUUAUUAAUUUAUUAUUUAUAAUUAAUUAUUAAUAAUUAAUUUUUUAUUUAUUUUUAAGUAAUAUUUUUAUUACUAUUAAUUACAUAAUAUAAUUUUAAUUUCAAAUUAUAACUCUUAUUCCUCUUGUUCCAAUCUAACCAUCCAAACACUAUUUACCUUAUUCCUAGGAACAACCCAAUUUUCAUCCAAACGCAAAAUUGGUCUAAUUCCUGCUUAUACCUGAACUUGUACCUAUCCCUAGAACUAGCAGUUCUUACUUAUACCCGAAUCAAACGCAGCCUUAGUGUUUUUAAAAACACCAUAGCCGAACUUAUAUAUACAUAUGUGUGUGCGCGAGCGCACGCGAACGUGACGUAGCAAUAAUGUCAAUAUAUCAAAACUAUGUUGUGCAUUGAAUCGGGCUUGUUGGAUUCCAUGCAUGUAAGAAAUUGUAGUAUAGGAAGGUUUAAAAUGCUAAUAUUACUUCCUUCCCCACAUGCAGUAAUAAAGAGCGGAUGGUUUUGUCUAAACCAUCCCAACUCUAAAACAAAUUUAAGAAAUUUCUCCUCAAGUGACGUAAUGCCAUGAGCCUAAAUUAGGCAAUUUUUUUUAAAAAAAUUAAGGCUAAAAAUAGUAAUAAAUGUUAAUAAAUGGAAAGUAAAAAAAAACACACUCCAUAUGUAAAAGAAGAAAUGAGAAACAAUAAUUUUAUCUCCCAAGCCCUAAUUUAUCAUUGGGUGGUAUACGCAAUUUUUCAAAACGAUUGAGGAUAAAUCAGUUGAUAAUGAUUUUCCUCUUAUAAGAUACCAAAUUACCAACAACCUCUUUGGGUGUUCUUUUCUUUUAACUAGCUUUUCACCCGUGCGAUGCACGGCUAAUAUAAUAAUAUAAAAUAAUAAAAAUUAUUAUAUAAUGAUAAAAAAAAUAUUUUAAUUAAUAUUAUAUUUUUUUAACAAAUAAAAAAAUAUACUAUCAAUUUUAAUUAUAGUACAUAUUAAAGUACACAAGCUAGAGAAAAAAAAAUUUUGAUCAAAAUAAAUACUCAAGUAAAAUGCAAAAUUCAACCAUACUCUAUUAUCUAUAAAUUGGUGUGCAACACAAUUUACAUUUAUAUAUUGGUAUGCAAAACAAAAUGAUAACUAAAAUUGAUAUGAAAAAUUACAAAUAAUAUUAAUAUUUAAGCAUAUAAUGAGAUUAACUAAACUUUCAUAUUUGACACAAAUUAGAGUAAGCACACGUAUAUUAUUUCCCUACUGUCACUUUAAAUAUUCAAAAAUAUAUAGAUGUUGGUGUUCAAGAUAAUAUAAAGAAAAACAACUUUGUUGCAUGAAGAUGGAAAAUUACAGAAGUGACAGUAGGAAAAAAAAAUUACGAAAUGAAAAUUACAGAAGUGACAGUAGGGAAAUAAUAUGUUCUAUUUUAAAAUAUUAACAUUUAAGAGCUAAGAAAAUUACAGGAGUGACGUGAGUUUUAAAUUUUUUUUCUCUUUCCAAAAAUGCCUCUAUCCUUUUUUACUAAUAUUUUUAUAUCCAGAAAUUUUCAACCAAUCAUUUCAAAUAAUUAACUAAGUAACAAUUUAUACCCAAAUAAAAAUAAAUAUUUUUCUUCUCAUGCGUAAUAUCCGCACCCGUCAAUUCUUUCGCAACGUAAUAUUCGUAAAUUUUUCAAAUAUCUGAACAUAAUUAUAGGUGACUUUGAAAUAAAAGUUUCUUCAUUGUAGGUAAUUUUUAAUAAUAUAGUAAAAGAUAUUAAUUUUUUAUAAAAGCGUGAGUUUUGAAUUUUUUCCUCUUUCCAAAAUUGUCUCUAUCCUCUUUUACUAAUAUUUUUUUGUCCAGAAAUUUUCAAUCAAUCAUUUCAAAUAAUUAACAAAGUAGUAAUUUAUUUUCAAAUAAAGAUAAAUAUUUUUCUUGUCAUGCGUGAUAUCCGCACUCGUCAAUUCUUUCGCAACAUAAUAUCCGUGAAUUUCUCAAAUAUCUCAUCAACAUAAUUAUAGGUGACUUUGAAAUAAAAUCUCUUUCAUUAUAGGUGAUUUUUAAUAAUAUAGUAAAAGAUAUUAAUUUUUUGCCAUUACAUCUUAUCUAAUGAUUGAAAAUAAAAAUAUCUGUUUUUUUUGUGACAAUAUUAUCCUCGCAUUUAUAUCAUAUUUUCUAUUUAGGCGUUUCUUAAAUAUUUUUGGAAAAACUUUAAAAAUUUUCCUGUGGUUUCGUAGUUUCUCACUUUAUCCCCAUGUGGUUUAAAAUGUAUCAAUUUGCCGCCCUGUGGUUUCUUUUUUUUUUCUUAUCAAUUUUAUUAUUUUUUUUUUCUUAAAUCAGUGAUAAAGUUAAAAUUAAAGGGUACCAAAAUGAAUAUUUGAUCAAUCUAGAUAGGUAUCUGAAGUUUUUUGUAUAUAAUUUAAUGAAAUAUUAACGAAAGCUACCGAAAAGAUAAAACGAAACCACAGGGGGGCAAUUUGAUACAUUUUAAACCACAGGGGGGUUUUUUGAAGUUUUUUCAAUAUUUUUCUUCUCACGCGUAAUAUCCGCCAAUUUUUUCGCAAUGUAAUAUCCGUGAAUUUCUCAAAUAUCUCAGUAAUCCACGUACCAUUUGAAUUUAAUAAUAUAGUAAAUAGAAUAGAUACGAUAACACGUGGAAAUCAUAUAGAAAGCCACGUUAAAAAAAAUGUCUCUAUCUUUUCUUACUAAUAUUUUUAUGUCCACAAAUUUUCAACCAAUAAUUUUAAAUAAUUAAUUAAGUAAUAAUUUAUUCCCAAAUAAAGAUAAAUAUUUUUUUUCUCAUGCGUAGUAUUCGUACCCGCCAAUUCUUUCGCAACGUAAUAUCCGUGAAUUUUUCAAAUAUCUUAUUAAUCCAUCUACCAAAUAGAAUAGAUUUCCUAAAGUAGUAAUAUCCGCACAAUAUAAUUAUAGAUAACUUUUAAAUAAAAUUUUCUUCAUUAUAGGUGAUUUUUAAUAAUAUAGUAAAAGAUAUUAUUUUCUUAAAAAAUUUAAUUUUAUUUUUUCAAAAUUAGAAAAUUUAUAUUUGAGCUUGACACGUAGAUUUUCUAUAUAGUAAAAGAUAUUAUUUUCUUAAAAAAUUUUAUUUUAUUUUUUCUAGAGUAACAUCCGCACCCACCAAUUCUUUCGCAACGUAAUAUCUGUGAAUUUAUCAAAUAUCACAACAUAAUUAUAAGUGAUUUUGAAAUAAAAUUCCUUUAAUUAUAGGUGGCCAAUUCUUUCUCAACGUAAUAUCCGUGAAUAUUAUUUUCAUAAAAAAAUUCUUUCGCAAUGUAAUAUCCGUGAAUUUCUCAAAUAUCUCAACAUAAUUAUAGGUGACUUUGAAAUAAAAUCCCCUUCACUAUAGGUGAUUUUUAAUAAUAUAGUAAAAAAUCUAUAUUUGAAAUAUUACCUAAAGUAGAAAAUCUGUAUUUGAACUUGACACGUAGAUUUUUUAUAUAGUAAAAAAUAUUAUUUACUUAAAAAUUCUAAUUUUAUUUUUUUUAAAGUAUAAAAUUUAUAUUUAAGUUUGACACGUGACAAGCAUAUAGAGCGUCACGUAUCAGUUUCUCAUAUAGGAUUCAUUAAGGGUUCUAUUUUAGUAUAUAGUAAUAGAUUGUACAUACCAACAACUAGGAUGAGAGUGAUACCACAGUAAAAGCUACUGGACUAUAAUUAGAUACCCUUUAUUUUCUCCAUUUGCAUUUUAAAUUUUGUUGGGCAUCGCAAUAGCAAUUAGUUUUUGACAUUCUAUAUUUUAAAGUGACGGUACCUAGCACUAAGUAAUCUCUAUAUCAGUAUCCGCGGGUAUCCACGGAUUAUUCGUAAAUUUAUAGGUACGAGUACUAAUAUUUUCUAUCUAAAAAUUUAUGAAUAAAACGGAGGGGUACCUGUUAAUUUGUAGGUAUUUUGGACAACUUGCAAAUAGAGGUUGAUUCACGUGUUCUUGAAUCAUUCUUGAAGGUCUUCUAACACUCCAAACUCGCGGUGGAUCGAACUAUAAACGAGCACGAUCACAAAUCCACCGUUCAAGUCCCUCUAGAAUAAUAGGUUAAUGAAGAAUGUGGUUUCUACUUUUCUUUCUUUUAUUUUCUCAUUUUCUUUCUUAUUUUUUUUCUUCAUUUUAUGUGAAAUCGCCCGCAUAGUUAUAAUUUCUUUUAUUUUCUUAUUUUCUUUCCUUUUUUUUUCAUUUUAUGUGAAAUCGCAAAUCCUAAUAGAUACGUAAGAAAUAAGGGUAAAUCGAUUAUUAAUUAUUAUCCUAAUAUGAUUAGAAUUUAUCUCUAAUUAGCUUUUCAAUUUAAAAGCGAGAUUAAUUCUAAUCCAAUUAGAUAACUUAAUAAUCGUCGGAUCGAGUCCGAUCAUGAGCGCACCCGAUUCGAUUUAACCAAAUGCCAACAAGUAGCACACUGUUUCGUUGUAGUCGUGGCUUGUGCUUGGUCGCAUCCAACCGGUUAAUGUGAUUGUGGGCUGAAUUGACACGACCCAUAUCAGCUAUGCCAGCCAGGGUGGACACCGCAGUGCUUUUUCUUUCCUUUGAUAUUCUUUUAGAGUUUAAAUAUUUUUUAAAAAAAAAUUAAGAAGAAAACUUAUUUACUUAAUAGAAAACAAUAUAUAUUUUAUAAACUUAAUAUUAAAAAAGUAAAAUUACGAAAUUUAAAAUAAAUCAUGAAGCUAGCUGGCUGUGAUUUAGUAAUGGAGUGUUAUUAAUUUGUUUCUACCUAAGUGAUAAAUAAGGGGGUGCAUGUGCGGAUGUUGCCUGGAUGAGCAAUUAUUCUGCUUGCUUUUACCUUGUGGAGGAAAUUAAUCUAUUAUUAUGUAGUAGGUACAACACAUUAUUUAUAACCAGUUAGUUUUUUUUUCUUUUUGGAGAGAAAAAUAUAAUAAAAUUAUUUUUAAAAAAAGUAUGAUAAAAUGGAUGAACUAUAAAAUAGUAAUUUGAUUAGUUGUAGACACCAUAUAUAUCAGCAAUAUAAUUAUUACAUUCUAGACUUUUUCCUAAUUUGUCGAGCGCAUUUGUUGUUGGAGUACGAGUGAUUGUAUGGUUCACUAAUUUACAUAGUAGCCUAUCGCUUGUAUUUUGCGGGUGUGUACUACUAUGACCAGUAAGAAAUCCAGCUCGUAAAAUUGUGUCGCUUAUUAAUUGUCCUAUCAAAUUGUUCUUAAUGAUAGGAAUUCCGAAUCGAUAAUCGGAGCCGUUAAAGUUGAUCUAGAGUAUUUGAAAUAUCUAAAAACUAAAUUUUAUAAAUUUUAAAAAUUAUUUACAUGGUGAUCAAAGUGUCAUAAAAUCGACAAUUUUUUAUGGCCUAUACGAGCCAUUUGCUUGUUCAACGGUAUAGAGUAAUCCAAAUUGCUUGAAUUUUUGACAGAAAAUUUUUUAUACUAUUUAAAUAAUGUUCGAUAACUCUGAUUAUGAAUUGAGAAAGUCUAACCUCUAUUUUAAAAAGGUUAUUCAUUUAUGACCGUUCAAUUUUUCGACUCUUCGAUAGACUUGAUAAUAAUUUUUAAAUAUUAUAAAAUUUAGUUUCUUAACAUUUCUAAUUGUGUAGACAAUUUCAACGAUGCCGAUCGAUUAUCAAUUUAAAGAUCCGAUCAUUCAAAUCGAUUUGAUAGGACAAUGUCCACAAUCCUAUUAAUAGGAUAGUAGAUGGACUCUAUACAUAAAGAGGAAGAAAAUUGAGCUUGUAUAUUUUUAAAAAUACCAAAUUAUUAGUGCUUAUAGGUUUUCGGCCCUUAAAUGAAGAUAUGUACAGUUAAGAUGAUAAUAAUUCUCUAGAAUUAAAUAAAUGGUUGAUGAAAUAGCAUAAUAUAAGGGAUAAAAUUGGUGAAAAGAAUAGAUAUAACGAUGAGAAACUUACUAGGAAUAAAUACUUAGUGUUUUUAAAAACACCAUAGCCGAACUUAUAUAUA
Molecule: long non-coding RNA, 7499 nt
Filed under: Ananas comosus (pineapple)
Lineage: Eukaryota; Viridiplantae; Streptophyta; Magnoliopsida; Poales; Bromeliaceae
Description: long non-coding RNA (ACOM_LNC008232)
Source: RNAcentral